Molecule: RNA transcript, 4679 nt
Organism: Homo sapiens (human)
Lineage: Eukaryota; Metazoa; Chordata; Mammalia; Primates; Hominidae
Gene: ZNF276
Gene name: zinc finger protein 276
Exons: 11
Source: RefSeq, marked validated
CCCCCUCCGCGCGUACUGCGGGCCCCACGGGUGUUAGUGGCGGGGGCGGCAGAGUCCGGGUGGGUUGUCGCGACGGAGCCGGGCCUCUUCGCCGUCUUGAGACGGGGCUGGCGAGAAGGGCCCCUCACGGAGUUGCCAUGGGCGUCUAACCGCGGCAGCCAGGCCCCUCUCUACGUGAGACCCCGGCCCCCCUCCCCUUUCUGCAGCCCGCCCGCCACCUGCGCGCCGCGUGGCCUCCGCCGGCGCCUGCCCGCCCCGCGCCUCCGUCUCCCACGGAGCAGGCCGGGCUCUCGCCAUGGGUCACUGUCGCCUCUGCCACGGGAAGUUUUCCUCGAGAAGCCUGCGCAGCAUCUCCGAGAGGGCGCCUGGAGCGAGCAUGGAGAGGCCAUCCGCAGAGGAGCGCGUGCUCGUACGGGACUUCCAGCGCCUGCUUGGUGUGGCUGUCCGCCAGGACCCCACCUUGUCUCCGUUUGUCUGCAAGAGCUGCCACGCCCAGUUCUACCAGUGCCACAGCCUUCUCAAGUCCUUCCUGCAGAGGGUCAACGCCUCCCCGGCUGGUCGCCGGAAGCCUUGUGCAAAGGUCGGUGCCCAGCCCCCAACAGGGGCAGAGGAGGGAGCGUGUCUGGUGGAUCUGAUCACAUCCAGCCCCCAGUGCCUGCACGGCUUGGUGGGGUGGGUGCAUGGACAUGCGGCCAGCUGCGGGGCCCUGCCCCACCUUCAGAGGACACUGUCCUCCGAGUACUGCGGCGUCAUCCAGGUCGUGUGGGGCUGCGACCAGGGCCACGACUACACCAUGGAUACCAGCUCCAGCUGCAAGGCCUUCUUGCUGGACAGUGCGCUGGCAGUCAAGUGGCCAUGGGACAAAGAGACGGCGCCACGGCUGCCCCAGCACCGAGGGUGGAACCCUGGGGAUGCCCCUCAGACCUCCCAGGGUAGAGGGACAGGGACCCCAGUUGGGGCUGAGACCAAGACCCUGCCCAGCACGGAUGUGGCCCAGCCUCCUUCGGACAGCGACGCGGUGGGGCCCAGGUCGGGCUUCCCACCUCAGCCAAGCCUGCCCCUUUGCAGGGCCCCAGGGCAGUUGGGUGAGAAGCAGCUUCCAUCUUCAACCUCGGAUGAUCGGGUAAAAGACGAGUUCAGUGACCUUUCUGAGGGAGACGUCUUGAGUGAAGAUGAAAAUGACAAGAAGCAAAAUGCCCAGUCUUCGGACGAGUCCUUUGAGCCUUACCCAGAAAGGAAAGUCUCUGGUAAGAAGAGUGAAAGCAAAGAAGCCAAGAAGUCUGAAGAACCAAGAAUUCGGAAGAAGCCGGGACCCAAGCCCGGAUGGAAGAAGAAGCUUCGUUGUGAGAGGGAGGAGCUUCCCACCAUCUACAAGUGUCCUUACCAGGGCUGCACGGCCGUGUACCGAGGCGCUGACGGCAUGAAGAAGCACAUCAAGGAGCACCACGAGGAGGUCCGGGAGCGGCCCUGCCCCCACCCUGGCUGCAACAAGGUUUUCAUGAUCGACCGCUACCUGCAGCGCCACGUGAAGCUCAUCCACACAGCUGUGAUGGUUUCACAUUGUCAUCGUCGUCCCCCCGGGAGGUUGGAGCAUCAGGGGCCUGGACUCACUGGACUCUCCCCUCUCAGAGGUGCGGAACUAUAUCUGUGACGAAUGUGGACAAACCUUCAAGCAGCGGAAGCACCUUCUCGUCCACCAAAUGCGACAUUCGGGAGCCAAGCCUUUGCAGUGUGAGGUCUGUGGGUUCCAGUGCAGGCAGCGGGCAUCCCUCAAGUACCACAUGACCAAACACAAGGCUGAGACUGAGCUGGACUUUGCCUGUGACCAGUGUGGCCGGCGGUUUGAGAAGGCCCACAACCUCAAUGUACACAUGUCCAUGGUGCACCCGCUGACACAGACCCAGGACAAGGCCCUGCCCCUGGAGGCGGAACCACCACCUGGGCCACCGAGCCCCUCUGUGACCACAGAGGGCCAGGCGGUGAAGCCCGAACCCACCUGAGGACGGCAGUGAGGAUGAGCACCUCUAGCAGCCUGGACUCCGCAGUGGCUGUGUCAGCCUCACCCUUCGUGUGCACCCGCAUGGGAGGGUCGGAGGGUGCUGCCCGCCCUUGGUGCUGGAGGCGGGCUUGGUGUCCGGCUCAAGUAGCCUUCCUCUGCUCUGGGACCAGUGGUUUAUUUUCCCGCAAACGCUGAGUGACUCGGGGCCGGACAGUUCAUAAAUAAUUGAUUCCUUUCCCCACUAAAGCAGUCGAGGAGAUUUGUAAUCCACUUUUUAGUGCAACAAGAGCUCCAUGUUAUGCUUGUAAUAAAUUAUUUACACGGGAGCUGGGCUGGUGUGCAGUGGCAGGUCCCGUCAGAAGAGAUGAGGCUCCUGGGACAGGUCAGCGUCAGGGGCAGCCUGCUGUCUGCUCUGGAGGGCGGCGCUCACCUCUGGGUCGCAGUCCCCACGAUCAGCCAGCAGCUGUGAGAGAGGAGCAGGUCCUCAGCCCAUGCCGCCCACUAGGCCUCAGACCACAGGGGAGGGGCUCUGGCAGAAAUAGUCGAGUUGUAUUGCCAGCCAGGCAGGCACAUGGCCCAGGCAGCUGUCAAUUCUCAUGUCCCCCACAUGGCCCAAGGUGGGCAUCUUGACGUUACCUCUGCCACGUGUGAGAAGCUCUUUUUCGGGCACCGAGGUAUUAACUGCAGCAGAAAAAGACGAGCUUUUGUUAUCAGUUCCACGGGGUUGCCCUAGAGAGAAAACAGGCAAACUCACAGGUUAGAAGACAUACAGAAACAGGGCUGGUGUGUCCCCCAUAGUCUGCAUGCUGUGCCGGAACAUUCUUUGGCAGAAGGAGCCUCCGGCUGGGGGGAGCUCCCCUGGAGGUGGGACUGGCCCUUGCACCUGCCUGACCCUUGAGCUCCAGGCUCCUGCCAGCUGGAGGUGAAACUGUGCUUGUAUCCCCAGCCACGAAGAGCUGGACCAGCUUCAAGUACAUGUCCACAGCAACAUGCAGGAAGGCCUCUUCCCUGAUGGCCGCGUCUUCAUGGAAGUAGGAGAGAAGACUAGAGGUAAAGACAUAGUGACAAAUGGCUACAGACUGCUGGAAAGGUAGCAGGUGAUGCCAAGGGAUACUGCUCAUCUGUGGAGCAGAGGCACAGACAACCCUUCCCAUCUGGCGGGACCCAGAGGUGCUGAGAUGGGGGUCUGGGAAACACUGCCCAGCCCUGACCAGCCCUGUGGGUGGAGGUACCUGUAAAAAGCGAAAGGCAGCAGCCUGGUGUGCUGAUCCGGGGCCACACGGAGGAGGAGCCGCCCCAGCCUGAGGUCUGCAACACCAAGAAGUGGCUCAGGCAACUCUGGACAUCUCUGCCUAUUAUCAGUGCUGGGGACACCCCUGGGGGUCGGGACGUGUACCCUGGGAGGCCUGGCUGUGGGGAUAGUGUGGGGCGAACAGCCUGAGCUGAGGAUACCCAGGUACCUGUCAGCAGCUGGGAGAGGAUGGGGGGGUCGACCUCUUGCAGGAGGGUGGGUGUGGUGCAGAGAGAGGCAGUCCCCAUGAUAGGCCCAUUGGUCCUGGGGUUGACCAGUGAGCCAGUAAAUUAUCUUAUUGCUUUAAACAAGUUUGUGCUUAAUCUGUCCCAACUAAAAUGGAGCUUAUAAACUUACUUAGCAAGGAACCUCAAGGAGGGCUCGUUCUUAACCAUUUGCAAGAUGCCUCUGAAAAGAGCGGCCCUCCGCAUUUGUGCCUCAGCAGCGUGUUUCUUACCACUCUCUGUCAACUGAAAGAGUGCCAGCCAGGAUAUCUUCCUCUUCUCUAAACACUCGAGGAUUGCUGCACAAACGUGGAAAGCCUUUGGCAGGUCUGUGGUGCUCUGUAAACCGCAGGAGACCAACCCUGAGAAUGGCCGACCUGGUGCUCCCAUGGGUAGGAGGGUACAGCCCUCAGCACAGAAGAGGGCAUUUCCUCUUUGCUUAUUGUAAGUCUUAAAACUGGUGACAGUUUUACCUAUAGAAGGUAAUACUGGGCCUCUGGACAGAAGAGGCUCAGGUAGGAGGCCAGGGACUUCGAGCACCCACACCAAGGCUGCUGCACCACGUCCUCAAAUAAGACAUUAAAAGAAAGGCCCACAGGCCGGAUGCAGUGGCUCAUGCCUGUAAUCCCAACACUUUGGGAGGCCGAGGUCGGCGGAUCACUGAGGCCAGUUCAAGACCAGCCUGGCAAUAUGGUGAAACCCCGUCUCUACUAAAAAUACAAAAAUUAGCCGGGUGUGACAGACUCACGCCUGUAAUCCCAGCUACUCGGGAGGCUGAUGCAGGAGAAUUGCUUGAACCCAGGAGGCUGAGGUUGCAGUGAGCUGAGAUCACACCACUGCACUCCAGCCUGGGUGACAGAGUGAGACCCCCAUCUCAAAAAAAAAAAAAAAAAACCCACGGCCUGGGAGUUCUCACUCACACUUCCGCAAACACAAGGAGCUCCUGAGCUAGUCUGGAAACCCUGACUUGGAAGCUGGCUGCCUGGUGCCCCUGCCUGGCCCACAGUGGGAGAGGACACCUUGGCUGGUAAGGUCUGACUUACAUUUGAGGUCAGAUGUGACGACAGCAGGCCCAUCAAGGAGAAGAAGAAAAGGAAAACCAAUAGCUGUAAAUAAAAACGUGCACUUAUUAUUACAUUAAAAUUACCUGUGCUGUCAUUCUAAA